AUUGGCACGAUGAGGAACUUAUUGCAUAAAUAUUGAGUUCAGUUGAUCUUUGAAAUUCUAAAAUAUAUUAAAGUCCUUUUCAUUCUGAGUGCCCU
Molecule: small nucleolar RNA, 95 nt
Filed under: Corchorus olitorius
Lineage: Eukaryota; Viridiplantae; Streptophyta; Magnoliopsida; Malvales; Malvaceae
Description: Small nucleolar RNA Z162
Rfam family: Small nucleolar RNA Z162
About the family: Z162 is a member of the C/D class of snoRNA which contain the C (UGAUGA) and D (CUGA) box motifs.
Source: Rfam by way of RNAcentral